CCCUUAGAUGUUCUGGGCCGCACGCGCGCUACACUGAUGCAUUCAACAAGUUCACCUUGGCCGAGAGGCUUGGACAAUCUUUUGAACAUGCAUCGUGAUAGGGAUAGAUUAUUGCAAUUAUUAAUCUUGAACGAGGAAUUCCUAGUAAACGUAGAUCAUCAAUCUGCAUUGAUUACGUCCCUGCCCUUUGUACACACCGCCCGUCGCACCUACCGAUUGAAUGGUCCGGUGAAGCCUCGAGAUUGUGGCCAGCUCGCUUUAUUGGGGGUUGGUUGCGAGAACUUGUCUAAACCUUAUCAUUUAGAGGAAGGUGAAGUCGUAACA
Molecule: ribosomal RNA, 324 nt
Filed under: uncultured eukaryote
Lineage: Eukaryota
Description: partial 18S ribosomal RNA
Rfam family: Eukaryotic small subunit ribosomal RNA
Source: RNAcentral